RNAcentral lists this ribosomal RNA (792 nucleotides) under uncultured bacterium. Its description in RNAcentral is "bacterial SSU rRNA". It matches the Rfam family "Bacterial small subunit ribosomal RNA", at positions 8 to 795 of the family's 1533-position model. The record is from RNAcentral.
AGAGUUUGAUCCUGGCUCAGGAUGAACGCUAGCGGUCGGUCUAACACAUGCAAGUCGAGCGGCAGCAUGGUGUAGCAAUACACUGAUGGCGAGCGGCGCACGGGUGCGUAACGCGUAGGUAACUUGCCCUUAACAGGGGGAUAGCCCGGCGAAAGCUGGAUUAAUACCCCAGAUAUCUAAUUACGGCAUCGUAAUUAGCUUAAAGCUCCGGCGGUUAAGGAUAGGCCUGCGUCCCAUUAGUUAGUUGGUGAGGUAACGGCUCACCAAGGCGACGAUGGGUAGGGGGUUUGAAAGGAUGAUCCUCCACACUGGCACUGAGACACGGGCCAGACUCCUACGGGAGGCAGCAGUGAGGAAUAUUGCGCAAUGGGCGAAAGCCUGACGCAGCCAGACCGCGUGCAGGAAGACGGUCGUAAGAUUGUAAACUGCUUUUAUAUGCGAGGAACAUUACCGACGUGUCGGUAUUUGACAGUAGCAUACGAAUAAGCACCGGCUAACUCCGUGCCAGCAGCCGCGGUAAUACGGAGGGUGCAGGCGUUAUCCGGAUUCAUUGGGUUUAAAGGGUGCGCAGGCGGAAUGAUAAGUCAGUGGUGAAAUCCCCGGGCUUAACCUGGGAAGUGCACUUAAAACUGUGCAGCUUGAGUAUAGUAGAGGAUAGCGGAAUUCCCGGUGUAGAGGUGAAAUUCGUAGAUAUCGGGAGGAACAUCAGAGGCGAAGGCGGCUAUCUGGGCUAGAACUGACGCAGAGGAGCGAAAGCGUGGGGAGCUAACAGGAUUAGAUACCCUGGUAGUC